Molecule: ribosomal RNA, 491 nt
Filed under: uncultured bacterium
Lineage: Bacteria
Description: partial 16S ribosomal RNA
Rfam family: Bacterial small subunit ribosomal RNA
Source: RNAcentral
UUGAACGCUGGCGGCAUGCUUUACACAUGCAAGUCGAACGGUAACAGGCCUUCGGGUGCCGACGAGUGGCGAACGGGUGAGUAAUGCAUCGGAACGUGCCCAGAGGUGGGGGAUAACGCAGCGAAAGCUGUGCUAAUACCGCAUGUGAUCUGAGGAUGAAAGCGGGGGACCAGGCAGCAAUGUUUGGCCUCGCGCCUUUGGAGCGGCCGAUGUCAGAUUAGGUAGUUGGUGGGGUAAAGGCCUACCAAGCCGACGAUCUGUAGCUGGUCUGAGAGGACGACCAGCCACACUGGGACUGAGACACGGCCCAGACUCCUACGGGAGGCAGCAGUGGGGAAUUUUGGACAAUGGGCGCAAGCCUGAUCCAGCAAUGCCGCGUGCGGGAAGAAGGCCUUCGGGUUGUAAACCGCUUUUGUACGGAACGAAAAGGCUCUGGCUAAUACCUGGGGCUGAUGACGGUACCGUAAGAAUAAGCACCGGCUAACUACGUG